ACGGAAGGCAGCAGUGAGGAAUAUUGGUCAAUGGGCGAGAGCCUGAACCAGCCAUGUCGCGUGGAGGAAUAAGGAUCUAUGGUUCGUAAACUCCUUUUGCGGGGGGAUAAAGUGCGGGACGUGUCCCGUAUUGCAGGUACCCCGCGAAUAAGCAUCGGCUAACUCCGUGCCAGCAGCCGCGGUAAUACGGAGGAUGCGAGCGUUGUCCGGAUUUAUUGGGUUUAAAGGGUGCGUAGGCGGCCUCUUAAGUCGGCGGUGAAAUUUCCGGGCUCAACCCGGUCACUGCCGUCGAAACUGGCGAGCUUGAGUACGGAUGAAGUCGGCGGAAUGUGAUGUGUAGCGGUGAAAUGCUUAGAUAUGUCACAGAACACCGAUUGCGAAGGCAGCUGACUAAUCCGCAACUGACGCUCAGGCACGAAAGCGUGGGGAUCGAACAGGAUUAGAUACCCUGGUA
RNAcentral lists this ribosomal RNA (454 nucleotides) under uncultured Porphyromonadaceae bacterium. RNAcentral describes it as "partial 16S ribosomal RNA". It matches the Rfam family "Bacterial small subunit ribosomal RNA", at positions 341 to 792 of the family's 1533-position model. The record is from RNAcentral. Lineage: Bacteria; Pseudomonadati; Bacteroidota; Bacteroidia; Bacteroidales; Porphyromonadaceae.